Molecule: transfer RNA, 64 nt
Filed under: Trigonopterus sp. 1 AH-2016
Lineage: Eukaryota; Metazoa; Arthropoda; Insecta; Coleoptera; Curculionidae
Description: tRNA-Ile
Source: RNAcentral
UAUAAAGUGCCUGAGAAAAGGAUUAUUUUGAUAGAAUAAAUUACACAGAUAUCUGUCUUUAUAA